This 610-nucleotide ribosomal RNA is filed under the name Microbacterium sp. Lo4. Its description in RNAcentral is "bacterial SSU rRNA". It matches the Rfam family "Bacterial small subunit ribosomal RNA", at positions 202 to 828 of the family's 1533-position model. The record is from RNAcentral. Lineage: Bacteria; Bacillati; Actinomycetota; Actinomycetes; Micrococcales; Microbacteriaceae.
AAGAUUUUUCGGUCAGGGAUGAGCUCGCGGNCCUAUCAGCUUGUUGGUGAGGUAAUGGCUCACCAAGGCGUCGACGGGUAGCCGGCNUGAGAGNGUGACCGGCCACACUGGGACUGAGACACGGCCCAGACUCCUACGGGAGGCAGCAGUGGGGAAUAUUGCACAAUGGGCGCAAGCCUGAUGCAGCAACGCCGCGUGAGGGAUGACGGCCUUCGGGUUGUAAACCUCUUUUAGCAGGGAAGAAGCGAAAGUGACGGUACCUGCAGAAAAAGCGCCGGCUAACUACGUGCCAGCAGCCGCGGUAAUACGUAGGGCGCAAGCGUUAUCCGGAAUUAUUGGGCGUAAAGAGCUCGUAGGCGGUUUGUCGCGUCUGCUGUGAAAUCCCGAGGCUCAACCUCGGGUCUGCAGUGGGUACGGGCAGACUAGAGUGCGGUAGGGGAGAUUGGAAUUCCUGGUGUAGCGGUGGAAUGCGCAGAUAUCAGGAGGAACACCGAUGGCGAAGGCAGAUCUCUGGGCCGUAACUGACGCUGAGGAGCGAAAGGGUGGGGAGCAAACAGGCUUAGAUACCCUGGUAGUCCACCCCGUAAACGUUGGGAACUAGUUGUGGGGU